This 311-nucleotide ribosomal RNA is filed under the name uncultured soil bacterium. RNAcentral's name for it is "bacterial SSU rRNA". It matches the Rfam family "Bacterial small subunit ribosomal RNA", at positions 26 to 338 of the family's 1533-position model. The record is from RNAcentral.
AGAUUGAACGCUGGCGGCAUGCCUUACACAUGCAAGUCGAACGGCAGUACGGGGGCAACCCUGGUGGCGAGUGGCGAACGGGUGAGUAAUGCAUCGGAACGUGCCCAGUAGUGGGGGAUAACUAGUCGAAAGAUUAGCUAAUACCGCAUACGACCUAUGGGUGAAAGCGGGGGAUUCGCAAGAACCUCGCGCUAUCGGAGCGGCCGAUGCCUGAUUAGCUAGUUGGCGGGGUAAAAGCCCACCAAGGCUUCGAUCAGUAGCUGGUCUGAGAGGACGACCAGCCACACUGGGACUGAGACGACGCCAGACCU